This 327-nucleotide small nuclear RNA is filed under the name Peromyscus maniculatus bairdii (prairie deer mouse). RNAcentral's name for it is "7SK RNA (ENSPEMG00000002431.2)". It matches the Rfam family "7SK RNA". Rfam says of the family: 7SK was discovered as an abundant small nuclear RNA in the mid-70s but a possible function has only recently been suggested. Two independent studies have found that 7SK RNA binds the CDK9/cyclin T complex (known as elongation factor P-TEFb). Lineage: Eukaryota; Metazoa; Chordata; Mammalia; Rodentia; Cricetidae. The record is from RNAcentral.
GGGUGUGAGGGGGAGCUGGCUGUGACAUCUGUUACCCUUUUUAUCUCCAGGGUUGAUUUAGUGAUCUGGAUGUCUAGAUAGGGGUCCCUUUCCUCCCUCACCACUCCAUGCAUGACCCUCCCAACGCUUUGCACUUGAUCAAAAACAUGACUUCUGGAUGGAGGAGGACCCAUCUUCAUCAAGGGUCUCUAAGUAGCUGCCUUCCUCUGCUAGGACCUCCAAACAAGCCCUCAAGAAGCAUUAUUAGACCAAACUACUUAAAAUGAGUCUGGUAUGAUAAAUUCCAGUAUUAUCCAGUUGGCAAUCUUACGAAGAUUUACCAUGAUU